Molecule: ribosomal RNA, 539 nt
Filed under: uncultured bacterium
Lineage: Bacteria
Description: bacterial SSU rRNA
Rfam family: Bacterial small subunit ribosomal RNA (bases 2-485)
Source: RNAcentral
AUUGAACGCUGGCGGCAUGCCUUACGCAUGCAAGUCGAACGGCAGCACGGGAGCAAUCCUGGUGGCGAGUGGCGAACGGGUGAGUAAUAUAUCGGAACGUGCCCAGUCGUGGGGGAUAACGUAGCGAAAGCUACGCUAAUACCGCAUACGAUCUACGGAUGAAAGCGGGGGAUCGCAAGACCUCGCGCGAUUGGAGCGGCCGAUAUCAGAUUAGCUAGUUGGUGGGGUAAAAGCUCACCAAGGCGACGAUCUGUAGCUGGUCUGAGAGGACGACCAGCCACACUGGAACUGAGACACGGUCCAGACUCCUACGGGAGGCAGCAGUGGGGAAUUUUGGACAAUGGGCGCAAGCCUGAUCCAGCAAUGCCGCGUGCAGGAUGAAGGCCUCGGUUGGUUAACGUUAGUCUUUUGUUACGGUAACGGAAACGGUACGGAGGACUCGUAAUAAAGAACUUAGUCCGUUAAUAGUAACGGGUAACCGUUAAACGGUAAAGUAAAGGUAACAACCCGGACCGUAACCGUAACCGUAACCCGUAACG